CCCGGCCGGUGCUUGUGCCCGAAUUCCACUUCGCUCAAUUAAUUUUAAUUUAUUUAAUUAUCAGCUGUCAAAACUGUCAUCUUCUUUGCUCAUUUAGUAGUAUUUCAUCAAUUCGAGACGAAGAUUUAACCCCACGGGCCAACGAAAAUCAAGAAGAAGCCAUGGGAAGUGCGGAGAAACCGAGUUUUAAGUGGAUCUUUAUAGGAGUCAACUUCUCAAAAUGGCGGCAGAUAAGCUGAUAACAUUAACUGAUGCCUUAUCCAACGUCGACACCUUAGAUGAGCUUACGUUACCUGAUGAACAACUGUGUAUCAAAGCUCAGGCAUGCUCUGUCAUUUAUCAAGCUAACUUCGAUACCAACUUCGAAGAACGGAAUGGGUCCAUCACUGGGUGCGUCAAUGGGUGGUACAUUGAAGAAGCCACUGUCCAAGCCAGUUUGGGAAGCUUCACAUUCCUGCCACUUGACCUCCAUUAGAAUGAACUGUUGGAAGAUGGCUUGGAACAUGCAGUCAUGCUGUACACGUGGCGAUGUUGCCUUGGAGCCAUCUCGCAACCGAAGUCCAAUGAGCAGCCGAACCGGGUGGAAAUCUAUGAAGAGACUGUUGAAGUAUUAGCUCCCGAAGUGAUCAAGCUGCUUAAUUUCAUGUAUUUUCAGGAAAUUUCAAACUAUUGCAACAGUAGACUUGUCAGCCCAUAACUACAUUAAGUACUUCACAGAAGUUCUUCCUAGAUUUUCUUCAGUCUAAAUAUCUGCUUGCAACGAUACUGUUAAAGGUGUUGUGGAGUAUGUGAAUUGUGAAAAGCAGGAUGAAAAAUACUUUGAACGGCCGAAGGAGAACUGAAGAUAACUGAAGACUGAUUCUAGUUAUUACGUAACCUUGUUUGCUACUUCGAUCUUGGUUUCUUCACACAAAGGCUCAAGAACGUCUGAUGAGAUAAAAUCGGAGGCAACAUAUGAGAUGAAACUAAACAAGCUGGAAUGAAGCAAGUGGGCUUAUCCUGGAACUACUAUGAGCAAGCUACAUCAUUGGAGACAUUACAGCUGAUGGGAUAUUCUGCCACCUCUUCCAUUCACAAUACAAAUAAGAUGCAGAGAUGAAUUCAAGACAGCGAUAAAUGAUGAAUCUGUUUGUGCGUCAGUUGCUUUACGACUCCUGAAACAUAUUUAGCCAGCAAAACUGAUUGAUUUUGUUGUUCUGGUUCUACAUCAUCUUGGGCCCUGUCAAAUAGAAUAUUAAUGCAAGGUGGUAUAUUGGAUAUUUAUUUGAAUAUCUUUUGCACUUAAUUAUAGUUAUGACUACAAAUGCCAAUUAACUUACCGGUGUAAUGCUAUACAGACCAAUAGGUGUGUGAUAAACCAAAGUUUUCAUGAAGUAGAUUUUUCUUUAAGACAAUUGUAUUGAACCGAUCCUCUGUUUUUUAUAAAAUCAUUGGUAAUCAUAUAUUAGACUUUAUAAAGCAAA
Bemisia tabaci is the source of this 1463-nucleotide non-coding RNA. NCBI's taxonomy places the organism in Eukaryota, Metazoa, Arthropoda, Insecta, Hemiptera, Aleyrodidae. The record is from RefSeq and is a predicted model, not a curated record.